This is a non-coding RNA of Mycena vulgaris, 93 nucleotides long. Lineage: Eukaryota; Fungi; Basidiomycota; Agaricomycetes; Agaricales; Mycenaceae. The record is from the annotation of a GenBank genome assembly.
UCAAGCAUGGUGUAAUGGGAACACAGCCUCCUAUUCUAGGAGCAUCAAAUGGAGAUUGAGAGGCAGUCUAGGGUUCGAAUCCCUGUUUCUGAA